GACGAACGCUGGCGGCGCGCUUAACACAUGCAAGUCGAGCGAUGAAACUUUAACAUACCCCUUCGGGGCGAAGAUAAAGUGGAUUAUCGGCGGACGGGUGAGUAACACGUGAGUAACCUUCCCUAGACAUUGGGAUAGCCUCUGCAAACCGGUAUUAAUACCAAAUAAAAUCAUAAUGACACAUGUCAUAACGAUCAAAACUCCGUUGGUCUACGAUGGACUGGCGUCCCAUUAGCUAGUUGGUAGAGUAAAAGCCUACCAAGGGGACGAUGGGUAGCCAGGAUGAGAGGGUGAACGGCAACAUUAGAGCUGAGAACCGGUCCGAACUCCUGCGGGAGGCAGGAGGUGGGAAUAUUGCACGAUGGAGGGAACACGAAUGCAUCCGGGCCGCGUAAACGAGGAAGGCGUGAAGAUCGUAUGGUAGUUUUAUAUGGGCAGAUAAUGACGGUACCAUAAGAAAAAGCCCCGGCUAACUACGUG
Molecule: ribosomal RNA, 480 nt
Filed under: uncultured bacterium
Lineage: Bacteria
Description: partial 16S ribosomal RNA
Rfam family: Bacterial small subunit ribosomal RNA
Source: RNAcentral